GCUGAACUUAAGCAUAUCAAUACGA
Molecule: ribosomal RNA, 25 nt
Filed under: Tuber indicum
Lineage: Eukaryota; Fungi; Ascomycota; Pezizomycetes; Pezizales; Tuberaceae
Description: partial 28S ribosomal RNA
Source: RNAcentral